This 419-nucleotide ribosomal RNA is filed under the name uncultured ammonia-oxidizing beta proteobacterium. Its description in RNAcentral is "bacterial SSU rRNA". It matches the Rfam family "Bacterial small subunit ribosomal RNA", at positions 197 to 597 of the family's 1533-position model. The record is from RNAcentral. Lineage: Bacteria; Pseudomonadati; Pseudomonadota; Betaproteobacteria.
UGGAGGAAAGCAGGGGAUCGUAAGACCUUGCGCUUUUGGAGCGGCCGAUGUCUGAUUAGCUAGUUGGUGGGGUAAUGGCCUACCAAAGCUUCGAUCAGUAGCUGGUCUGAGAGGACGGCCAGCCACACUGGGACUGAGACACGGCCCAGACUCCUACGGGAGGCAGCAGUGGGGAAUUUUGGACAAUGGGCGCAAGCCUGAUCCAGCCAUGCCGCGUGAGUGAAGAAGGCCUUCGGGUUGUAAAGCUCUUUCAGCCGGGAAGAAAAGGCUGCGAUUAAUAAUCGCAGUUCAUGACGGUACCGGAAGAAGAAGCACCGGCUAACUACGUGCCAGCAGCCGCGGUAAUACGUAGGGUGCGAGCGUUAAUCGGAAUUACUGGGCGUAAAGGGUGCGCAGGCGGUUCUGUAAGUCAGAUGUGA